This 253-nucleotide ribosomal RNA is filed under the name uncultured bacterium. RNAcentral's name for it is "partial 16S ribosomal RNA". It matches the Rfam family "Bacterial small subunit ribosomal RNA", at positions 524 to 776 of the family's 1533-position model. The record is from RNAcentral.
UACGGAGGGUGCAAGCGUUGUCCGGAAUCACUGGGCGUAAAGGGCGCGUAGGCGGCCGUGUAAGUCACUUGUGAAAUCCCGGGGCUCAACCCCGGGGCUGCAGGUGAGACUGCGUGGCUAGAGCACGGUAGAGGCGAGUGGAAUUCCCGGUGUAGCGGUGGAAUGCGUAGAUAUUGGGAGGAACACCAGUGGCGAAGGCGGCUCACUGGACUGGUACUGACGCUGAUGCGCGAAAGCGUGGGGAGCAAACAGG